Molecule: unclassified non-coding RNA, 331 nt
Filed under: soil metagenome
Description: partial contains 5.8S ribosomal RNA, internal transcribed spacer 2, and large subunit ribosomal RNA
Rfam family: 5.8S ribosomal RNA (bases 1-119)
Source: RNAcentral
GAUGAAGAACGCAGCGAAAUGCGAUAAGUAAUGCGAAUUGCAGAAUCCGUGAGUCAUCGAAUCUUUGAACGCACAUUGCGCCCGCCAGUAUUCUGGCGGGCAUGCCUGUUCGAGCGUCAUUUCAACCCUCAAGCACAGCUUGGUGUUGGGACUCGCGUUAAUUCGCGUUCCCCAAAUUGAUUGGCGGUCACGUCGAGCUUCCAUAGCGUAGUAGUAAAACCCUCGUUACUGGUAAUCGUCGCGGCCACGCCGUUAAACCCCAACUUCUGAAUGUUGACCUCGGAUCAGGUAGGAAUACCCGCUGAACUUAAGCAUAUCAAUAAGCGGAGGA